RNAcentral lists this ribosomal RNA (520 nucleotides) under Bacillus cereus. RNAcentral describes it as "bacterial SSU rRNA". It matches the Rfam family "Bacterial small subunit ribosomal RNA", at positions 14 to 514 of the family's 1533-position model. Lineage: Bacteria; Bacillati; Bacillota; Bacilli; Caryophanales; Bacillaceae. The record is from RNAcentral.
UGAUCCUGGCUCAGGAUGAACGCUGGCGGCGUGCCUAAUACAUGCAAGUCGAGCGAAUGGAUUAAGAGCUUGCUCUUAUGAAGUUAGCGGCGGACGGGUGAGUAACACGUGGGUAACCUGCCCAUAAGACUGGGAUAACUCCGGGAAACCGGGGCUAAUACCGGAUAACAUUUUGAACYGCAUGGUUCGAAAUUGAAAGGCGGCUUCGGCUGUCACUUAUGGAUGGACCCGCGUCGCAUUAGCUAGUUGGUGAGGUAACGGCUCACCAAGGCAACGAUGCGUAGCCGACCUGAGAGGGUGAUCGGCCACACUGGGACUGAGACACGGCCCAGACUCCUACGGGAGGCAGCAGUAGGGAAUCUUCCGCAAUGGACGAAAGUCUGACGGAGCAACGCCGCGUGAGUGAUGAAGGCUUUCGGGUCGUAAAACUCUGUUGUUAGGGAAGAACAAGUGCUAGUUGAAUAAGCUGGCACCUUGACGGUACCUAACCAGAAAGCCACGGCUAACUACGUGCCAGCAG